Molecule: ribosomal RNA, 470 nt
Filed under: uncultured bacterium
Lineage: Bacteria
Description: bacterial SSU rRNA
Rfam family: Bacterial small subunit ribosomal RNA
Source: RNAcentral
AACGAACGUUAGCGGUGCGCCUAACACAUGCAAGUCGAGCGAGAAGGGAGCAAUCCCAGUAAAGCGGCGCACGGGUGAGUAACACGUAGGUAAUCUACCUCGAGGUGGUGGAUAACCUUCCGAAAGGAGGGCUAAUACAGCAUGAGACCACGUCUUCGCAAGAGGAUGAGGUUAAAGCGGGUCACUACAAGUAAACUCGCGCCACGAGAUGAGCCUGCGGCCCAUCAUGGUAGUUGGUAGGGUAACGGCCUACCAAGCCGAAGACGGGUAGCUGGUCUGAGAGGAUGAUCAGCCACACUGGAACUGAGACACGGUCCAGACUCCUACGGGAGGCAGCAGUGGGGAAUCUUGCGCAAUGGGCGAAAGCCUGACGCAGCGACGCCGCGUGAGUGAUGAAGGCCUCGGUUGUAAGCUCUGUGGAGGGGACGGAAGUAAGGGUUAGGCGUAAUAUCCAGCUCGAUGACGGUACC